UAUCUCUCUGUACGGGAAGGAUGAGAAGCUUCGACUAAGGUUCGAUUCGAGCGCAGCGAGAAAGCGUUGCCGCAGGCAACGACCCGAAGGGCGAAGCGCGCAGCGCUGAGUAAUCCUUCCCCCACCACC
This 129-nucleotide small RNA is filed under the name Salmonella enterica subsp. enterica serovar Muenchen. RNAcentral's name for it is "RtT RNA". It matches the Rfam family "RtT RNA". Rfam says of the family: This family represents a bacterial cis-regulatory element known as RtT RNA. The exact function of RtT is unknown although it is thought that it may be involved in changing the cellular response in relation to amino acid starvation. The record is from RNAcentral. Lineage: Bacteria; Pseudomonadati; Pseudomonadota; Gammaproteobacteria; Enterobacterales; Enterobacteriaceae.